RNAcentral lists this ribosomal RNA (498 nucleotides) under uncultured Atopobium sp. RNAcentral describes it as "bacterial SSU rRNA". It matches the Rfam family "Bacterial small subunit ribosomal RNA", at positions 29 to 524 of the family's 1533-position model. Lineage: Bacteria; Bacillati; Actinomycetota; Coriobacteriia; Coriobacteriales; Atopobiaceae. The record is from RNAcentral.
AUGAACGCUGGCGGCGCGCCUAAACACAUGCAAAAGUCGAAAACGGGUUAAAAGCAUCUUCGGAUGUGUAUAAAAGUGGCGAACGGCUGAGUACACGUGGGCAACCUGCCCUUUGCACUGGGAUAGCCUCGGGAAACCGAGGUUAAUACCGGAUACUCCAUAUUUGUCGCAUGGGCGAAUAUGGGAAAAGCUCCGGCGGCAAAGGAUGGGGCCCCGCGGCCUGUUAGCUAGUUGGUGGGGUAGUGGCCUACCCAAGGCAAUGAUGGGUAGCCGGGUUGAGAGACCGACCGGCCAGAUUGGGACUGAGACACGGCCCAGACUCCUACGGGAGGCAGCAGUGGGGAAUCUUGCACAAUGGGCGAAAGCCUGAUGCAGCGACGCCGCGUGCGGGAUGAAGGCCUUCGGGUUGUAAACCGCUUUCAGCAGGGACGAGGCCGCAAGGUGACGGUACCUGCAGAAGAAGCCCCCGGCUAACUACGUGCCAGCAGCCGCGGUAAU